RNAcentral lists this small RNA (1433 nucleotides) under Pan troglodytes (chimpanzee). RNAcentral's name for it is "retained intron". The record is from RNAcentral. Lineage: Eukaryota; Metazoa; Chordata; Mammalia; Primates; Hominidae.
CUGAGCCGCCGCCGAGGACUCAGCAGCCUCCCCCUUGAGCCCCCUCGCUUCCCGACGUUCCGUUUCCCCCCUGCCCGCCUUCUCCCGCCACCGCCGCCGCCGCCUUCCGCAGGCCGUUUCCACCGAGGAAAAGGAAUCGUAUCGUAUGUCCGCUAUCCAGAACCUCCACUCUUUCGACCCCUUUGCUGAUGCAAGUAAGGGUGAUGACCUGCUUCCUGCUGGCACUGAGGAUUAUAUCCAUAUAAGAAUUCAACAGAGAAACGGCAGGAAGACCCUUACUACUGUCCAAGGGAUCGCUGAUGAUUACGAUAAAAAGAAACUAGUGAAGGCGUUUAAGAAAGUAGGUCUUCAGUGAGAUUGUGGGAAAGUCAUAAUGGAUUUGUCCACAAGGGGGUGCCAGCUGUGUUGUAUGUAUUGUUAGCGGAAGGGGUGAUAAAUGCGUUCAUGCUCUUGCUAGGCCUAAUUCGUUUUGUUUCCUUUGUGCUUGCAGAAGUUUGCCUGCAAUGGUACUGUAAUUGAGCAUCCGGAAUAUGGAGAAGUAAUUCAGCUACAGGGUGACCAACGCAAGAACAUAUGCCAGUUCCUCGUAGAGAUUGGACUGGCUAAGGACGAUCAGCUGAAGGUUCAUGGGUUUUAAGUGCUUGUGGCUCACUGAAGCUUAAGUGAGGAUUUCCUUGCAAUGAGUAGAAUUUCCCUUCUGUCCCUUGUCACAAGUUUAAAAACCUCACAGCUUGUAUAAUGUAACCAUUUGGGGUCCGCUUUUAACUUGGACUAGUGUAACUCCUUCAUGCAAUAAACUGAAAAGAGCCAUGCUGUCUAGUCUUGAAGUCCCUCAUUUAAACAGAGGUCAAGCAAUAGGCGCCUGGCAGUGUCAAGCCUGAAACCAAGCAAUACCGUCAUGUUUCAGCCAAGCCCAGAGCCCUAAGAUUACAAACAACUAUGGCCGGAACCUCCUCAGCUCUCCCUCUGCAGAGUUCCCUACCCUAAGAGAAUGUUACCACCCGAACAGUCCUCGGUGAAUCUGAGAGGAGAGGAUGGGGUAAGGCAGAAGCACCAGCUGUACUACUAGAAGGGAGCUUUUGGUGGUAGAUCCCCUGGUGUCUCCAACCUGACUAGGUGGACAGAGCUCAAAGGAGGCCCUCUUCCCGCUAGCGAGGUGAUAGGACAUCUGGCUUGCCACAAAGGUCUGUUUGACCAGACAUAUCCUAGCUAAGGGAUGUCCAAACAUCAGAAUGUGAGGCCAACCUUCUAUCAGAGUUAAACUUUUGACAAGGGAACAAAUCUCAAACUGAUCCAUCAGUCAUGUAGCUAGCUGUAGAGCUUGCAACUUAAUAGCAGCAGCUGCCCAAUGCCAUGUGAAGUAACAAACUGGUUUUUGGUUUUUUUUCCCCUUCAGUUUUAAUGUUAUGUGUAAUGUAUUUAAACCCUUAUUU